GCCCGUCUAGCUCAGUCGGUAGAGCAUGAGACUCUCUAUCUCAGGGUUGUGGGUUCAAGCCCCAUGUUGGGUA
Peromyscus eremicus (cactus mouse) is the source of this 73-nucleotide non-coding RNA. The record is from the annotation of a RefSeq genome assembly. NCBI's taxonomy places the organism in Eukaryota, Metazoa, Chordata, Mammalia, Rodentia, Cricetidae.